Molecule: ribosomal RNA, 492 nt
Filed under: uncultured bacterium
Lineage: Bacteria
Description: partial 16S ribosomal RNA
Rfam family: Bacterial small subunit ribosomal RNA
Source: RNAcentral
AGUGAACGCUGGCGGUAGGCCUAACACAUGCAAGUCGAACGGCAGCACAGUAAGAGCUUGCUCUUACGGGUGGCGAGUGGCGGACGGGUGAGGAAUACAUCGGAAUCUACUUUUUCGUUGGGGAUAACGUAGGGAAACUUACGCUAAUACCGCAUACGACCUACGGGUGAAAGCAGGGGAUCUUCGGGCCUUGCGCGAUUGAAUGAGCCGAUGUCGGAUUAGCUAGUUGGCGGGGUAAAGGCCCACCAAGGCGACGAUCCGUAGCUGGUCUGAGAGGAUGAUCAGCCACACUGGAACUGAGACACGGUCCAGACUCCUACGGGAGGCAGCAGUGGGGAAUAUUGGACAAUGGGCGCAAGCCUGAUCCAGCCAUACCGCGUGGGUGAAGAAGGCCUUCGGGUUGUAAAGCCCUUUUGUUGGGAAAGAAAAGCAGCAGGUUAAUACCCCGCUGUUCUGACGGUACCCAAAGAAUAAGCACCGGCUAACUUCGUG